This is an RNA transcript of Colossoma macropomum (tambaqui), 2647 nucleotides long. RefSeq lists it as uncharacterized. The record is from RefSeq and is a predicted model, not a curated record. The transcript has 8 exons. Lineage: Eukaryota; Metazoa; Chordata; Actinopteri; Characiformes; Serrasalmidae.
ACAGCGCGUCAGUGGAAUAUCAGACCGCGGGCUCAAAGCAUUGUGUGGAAUCAUUUAUUCCGUUAAGUAAUAAAAACAGACAAACCGUUUAUAUCUGUGUUACAGGUGUGUUGUCUUCACACGCAGCAGCAGCAGCUUCUCCUCGAGGAGGAUCAUCCAGACUGAACAGUCAGUCAUGCAGUCCUGCAGUUCUGCUCUCUGUAUCCUGAUCUUACUGAUCAUUACAUUCACUACUGUGUCUGUAUCAGCUGAUCCUCCAGUGAAGGUGAAUCUUCAUGACUCUGCUACUCUGCCCUGCUCUGAGAGAUGCUCUGGUUUGGUCAGAUGGACUGUGUUCACUAAACCCACUGACACUCUGGCUGAGUGUGAUCAGACUUCAUGUAGAUCAGUGAAGGAGGGAUAUCAGAUGAUCCAUGAUCAGUACCUGAAGGGGAAUCUCUCUCUCACCAUCACUGAAGCUGAUUUCACUAAGAGAGGCUGGUACACGAGUGACUGUGAUGAUAAAGAUCUCUGUGAUGUGCGUCUUCAGAUUGAGCCCCUGAGUACUGCAGUUCAGAUAAAGUCUGGUGAUUCUCUGGUGCUGAAGCUGGACAUAUCAGAUCCAGUGGAGGUGAUUUAUAACAGUACAGGUACAGUUGGACCAUCCAGUGGUCAGAUCUGUACAGUGGAUAGACAUUCAACGUGGUGUAAAGAUGAAUACACACAGAGAGCGUCUCUAACAUCUGUUUUUGAGCUGAGAAAUGUGACUCCAUCUGACAGUGGAGUUUAUACUGUAAUGGACAAAAGGAAUGAAGAGGUCAUUCACAUCUACACAGUGACUGUGGGGUCAGCAGGGGGAAGAGGUGACCAUCCAGAUCUGGACACAGAUAUAGGAGCUGCUGUACCAGUGUCUGUGACUGUACUGACACUGAGUGUGUUGGGUGUGACGCUGAUUGUAUUUGUAGCUGUGAUUGUGAUGUCAGUCGUGGCAAACAAGCGGCAGAGGAGAGAAAAGCGGCCGUCCCAGGAUGAAGGGUGAUAGGUAAAAGUUCAAAGUGAUUGGCUCUCUGGAGUUUGGUCCGCGGCUCCAGCAGCACGAGCCUCCGGGUGUCUGAGCCCAAUCCCUGAACAUCGCGAGCCUCCAGCAGCAUAAAUACUCCGGGCAACCAGCAGUGCAGACACUUCUCGUGUGGAGGAGCUGCGGUUUGUCUUCAGUGCCUGCAGAACAGGAGCUCUUCUGGAUCUCCGGUCUUCACCUCCAGCAGCGGCUCUCCGGAGUUUGGUCCGCGGUUUGGUCCGGAGUUUCCACCUGCAGGCUGUGUUGAGUCUCCACCGUCUGCUCAGCCAUGCAGCUCUUCAGCUUCUGGGUCCUAACAGUCCUGACUGCAGUCCUAUCAGCAGGUCAGCAGACACUGGCUAACUUCAUCAAAACCACAUGGAAGGAUCUGAAUGACCCGGCCACUCUGUUCUGUCCAGAGCCCUGUUCAGGGGUGGAGACCUGGGAGAGGAGUGGACUGAAAGUGGCCAAAUGUGGAGUUAAAGAAGUCCGAGUUCAGCUGUGAGAGACACCUGGACCAGAGUAGCCUCACCGUUCCUCAGGUUAAUUACACCACCAGAGGAUUUUAUCUCACCAAAUGUAGCGGAGAAGUGAUCUGCUUCCAGAACCUCCAGCCCAACCCUCACAGCUCUUCUGUUGAAGUACCAGCUGGAGAUCCCCUCAUCUUGGACCUGUUCCAUCCAGUGAGGAUCUGUAACCCCUGUCCAGAUGUGCACUGUGGAUGGACGUUCCGUGCUCUGUAAUGCGGGGUAUGAAGACAGAGUGUCAGUGUGUGGUAACUCCAUGGUGCUGAGAGACGUGGUGUCUGCUGACUCUGGAGUCUACACGGUGCGAGCGGUCAAGGAUGGAGCGGCUCUCAUACGGACAGUGUCGGUCACUGUUAAACAUGCUCAGCAGAGCUGGAUGUGGAAGGAUGAAUAUCAGAAGGGAUUGAAAAUCGGAGCACUGGGAUUUGGGAUUGGAGCGCUGGUUCUUGGUGUGAUUCUGGGGUUCUAUGCUGUGCCGAGGGGGCUUUAUCUGAUGGACAGAUGUUUCCAGAGGCUCAGAAGACGAGACUCCUCACGCGUGAAUCAAACUGAGGAUGUGGAAAAGAGUGUUCCCCUGACAUGAGGGAAUACCAGCCAGUGGAAUGACUGGGAUUUAUUGGAUCUCGGUACAAACAGAAUGAAUGACCCACAUAAUAGGGAAAUGACUUUAAAUCAAUUAUGACACUGAAAUUUACUUGUUUACUUAUUUUUAUGUCCCAAACGAGCUGAUGCUCUGAAGGCUACUCCACCCAUCUGAAGCUGGUUUCUUAUUCCCUGACUUCAUGUUCAAAUUUUCCUGUUCCACCUUAAAUGGUGAUCACUAGUGAAAGUAGAAACAUGGCUUAGGUCCUAAUUUGCUGGUCCAGCCAGUGUCUUUACCAUCCAGCAUUACAGCUCUUUAACUGGACCCCAGUUUCCAGAAUGCACUGGUGCUGCUGUUCCUGCAGGGUUUUAUUCUGUCUUUGUGAAAGUGCUGAGUGUGAAGUGUUUUUAAAGGUAUGAGAGCUUUUUAUGGCUUUUAUUUAUCUGCUAUUUAUUACUGUUAUACUCCUCUGUAUGAAAUAAAGUGUGUAUUAUCCCAUGA